AAUAGGUAGGUAGGUACUUAAUAAUUCGAAACUGUAACGCGUCUCUCAAUAUAGAAAUAACUCUUAAAAAGUAAUUUCUAUUAGUUAUCUCUUUGUUAUUUCCCAAUAUCUCGGUAAAUAUUCAUCAUUGGUCUAAAAUGAAAAUAGGUGAAAUGACGCGUGUCAAAAUUUCACGUAGGACAAAACCAUAACCUCAAUUUUGAUAAAAGUGGACUUGGACCCUCUCAGGUACAGAGUCAUAUUUUAAUGAUUCCGUGUUGUGUUCGUGAACAAAAUUUAUUGCAAUAAUAUUUUUCUGGAAUAAUUAGGAUUUGCAUAUCUGCACGUCGUCCGUACGAUACUAACUACUAGCUUGUGACUACUCAACAAGUGGCUGUUGCAGAAUUCUGAACAGAGUGCAGCUUGCUAUUUGACUUUGCACUGCGAGCGUCUGAUGUUGUGAUGUUCAUGAUUUUGUUGUAAAAGAAAACAAAUAAUUUUUGAUAAUUUACAUUACGAUAAAUAUUGAGAAUUUAAAUUUGGGAGGUCCGAGGAAUACCUACCAUCAUUACGAUUUAGCGGUGUAAAAGCUGCUGAAAUAAAACCUAGUCAGACAGUGAACGGACAUACAAUGAAUAUUAGGUGUUGCGUACCAGGAUGCAAAACUGUUAAUAUUAAUGUUACUAGUGAUGAAGAUAUCAGAUUAUUACGACCUAAAAGAGAAAAUUUAAUUAACUGGAGUUUAAUAUUACAAGUAAGGUUAACUUUGGACAGUUGCAUAUGUGAAAGGCAUUUCCGACGCGAAGAUCUUAGAUAUCCAAGAGUAUUUAUAGAUGGUCCAAUUAUAAUAAAACCAUCAUUAGUUCCUUCUGCAAUGCCAAUUCCAAUUGAUAAUGUUGAGGAGAAGUAUGGUUCAAAAAGACCCUCCUUUGAUGUCGGAUCAAACAAAAAAAAAAAAAAAAAUUCCAAUUAAUGCUACUCAAUCUUAUGCUAGAAAUAAUUUACAAGAUAAUACAGAUUAGUGUUCUCCAUCUAAUAAUUCCAUGUCAACUGAUGACUGUUCAACCAUAGAAUAAAGGCUAAUACACAACUCGAGUAAUACUUACUACUUAACUUUAAAUAUUUCUGGAAUUCUAAAUAUUAUGAAACCAAACCGUUAAUUUAAUUCAUUAUUUUUAUUGUAUUUACAUAUUUUUAAGUGUAUUUAUAAGUCAUUUGUAUUUUUGUAAAAAAAAACUAUCAUUGUAAUCUUUUAUGUUAAUUUUAAUAACACUACAUUUAGUGUUAUAACGAGGGUUCGAGAACUGCCAGGAAUAGUAAAUACAUUCCAAGUUAUUAUUCAUAUUCUAAUUAAAUUUAUUUCAAACUGGAAUGGUACAAUUCCUGCAAACAAAAAAUUAUGUAUAUGUCUGUUAGGUUAUAUAGAAAAAUGACAACUUUAUAGCAAACUAUUUAUACCACAUGAUGAACAAUGUAUAUUGUUAUGUUUUACACACAGUGGUGCUGAGUUCAGUUAAAAAUAGUGGUUCUUCGAAAACUAGAAGGUCUAUUUUCAUUGGAUUUUCGUAUAUAAAGUGUUGCCAUUCGUCACAUUAUAUCAUACUAUAGUAAUAGUAGCAAAUUAGUACAAAUUAGUAUUUUUUUCUAUAUAGAUAUUUAAAACUACUUAUAAUGUAAUUGAUUGAUAUAAUAAUUUUGAUAUUUCACCAUUAUAUGUUUAACCUACGUUUGUUAUUAUCCGAAGUUAAUA
Molecule: long non-coding RNA, 1729 nt
Filed under: Acyrthosiphon pisum (pea aphid)
Lineage: Eukaryota; Metazoa; Arthropoda; Insecta; Hemiptera; Aphididae
Description: uncharacterized LOC103308908
Source: RNAcentral